UACAGAGGAUGCAAGCGUUAUCCGGAAUGAUUGGGCGUAAAGCGUCUGUAGGUGGCUUUUUAAGUCCGCCGUCAAAUCCCAGGGCUCAACUCUGGACAGGCGGUGGAAACUACCAAGCUGGAGUACGGUAGGGGCAGAGGGAAUUUCCGGUGGAGCGGUGAAAUGCGUAGAGAUCAGGAAGAACACCGGUGGCGAAAGCGCUCUGCUAGGCCGCAACUGACACUCAUGGACGAAAGCUAGGGGAGCGAAUGGG
This 253-nucleotide ribosomal RNA is filed under the name uncultured bacterium. RNAcentral's name for it is "partial 16S ribosomal RNA". It matches the Rfam family "Bacterial small subunit ribosomal RNA", at positions 524 to 776 of the family's 1533-position model. The record is from RNAcentral.